This 253-nucleotide ribosomal RNA is filed under the name uncultured bacterium. Its description in RNAcentral is "partial 16S ribosomal RNA". It matches the Rfam family "Bacterial small subunit ribosomal RNA", at positions 524 to 776 of the family's 1533-position model. The record is from RNAcentral.
UACGUAGGUGGCAAGCGUUGUCCGGAUUUAUUGGGUUUAAAGGGUGCGUAGGCGGCGGGGUAAGUCAGGUGUGAAAUCUCGGGGCUCAACCCCGAAACUGCACUUGAUACUGCCUCGCUUGAGUACUGGAGAGGAGACUGGAAUUUACGGUGUAGCAGUGAAAUGCGUAGAUAUCGUAAGGAAGACCAGUGGCGAAGGCGAGUCUCUGGACAGUUACUGACGCUGAGGCACGAAGGCCAGGGGAGCAAACGGG